AUUGAACGCUAGCGGCAGGCCUAACACAUGCAAGUCGAACGGUAGCACAGGAGAGCUUGCUCUCUGGGUGACGAGUGGCGGACGGGUGAGUAAUGCAUGGGGAGCUGCCCAAUCGAGGGGGAUACCAGCUGGAAACGGCUGCUAAUACCGCAUACGCCCUGAGGGGGAAAGGUGGGGACCUUCGGGCCUACCGCGAUUGGAUGCACCCAUGUGGGAUUAGCUAGUUGGUGAGGUAACGGCUCACCAAGGCGACGAUCUCUAGCUGGGCUGAGAGGAUGACCAGCCAAAAUGGAACUGAGUCACGGUCCAGGCUCCUACGGGAGGCAGCAGUGGGGAAUAUUGCACAAUGGGGGAAACCCUGAUGCAGCCAUGCCGCGUGUGUGAAGAAGGCCUUCGGGUUGUAAAGUACUUUCAGUGGGGAGGAAGGGUUGAUGUCUAAUACGCAUCAGCAUUGACGUUACCCACAGAAGAAGCACCGGCUAACUCCGUGCCAGCCGCCGCCGUAA
Molecule: ribosomal RNA, 506 nt
Filed under: uncultured bacterium
Lineage: Bacteria
Description: partial 16S ribosomal RNA
Rfam family: Bacterial small subunit ribosomal RNA
Source: RNAcentral